ACGCACACCUAUGAGCUGCGUGCCUAUGGUGACACUAUGCUAGUAGGGGAAAAGUGUGUUCGCAUUCCAUGUUUGUGGACGGCAUGAAAGCCAAGAUAAAAUGGAUGCCUUCCCAUUGUACUGCAUACGGUUGCACACAACGCCGUACACUCACAACAAGGGAACUGGGAAUAACCUUUCAUAGAGGAACAUCUGGUCUGUCGGUGGGAGGAGGAUGAAGGAUAAAGACAUCACUCGGGACCGAGGGGCCACGAGAGGCCAAAGGGGGCCCCAUGUGCUACUCGAAGGGAAGGAUUUUUUUUUUUUUUAAAUCAACAGGCAACAAAGAGUGGCUAAGUGAAAGAAGAACAGGAGACGCUUGGUUAAAGUGCUUUGAUUUAUGUUUUCAGAUAUCAAAUUCAGAUAUGGCACAGAAUCCAACAAGAAUCCACAAUGCCAUUUUUAUUUUUUUUUUAAUUUUUAAAAACCGUUUAUCUUUUUUAUUUUUUUAAUUUUUUUAGUACCGGUAGUUUAAAAGGCAAGUAACCAAAAAGCCGACAGUCGGCCAAUGACUGUGUAGGAGCCAGGAGAAUGAAAUGGCUUCAAACUGCCAACUAGCUCCUGCGGGCAACUUAGUACGCGUUAUCCACCGGGACGUAACCUCAGAGUGCGCAGCUCACGAUGCUAUGUGAGCAAAGUCAGUGUUAUAUGCAGUGGACUCACCUUUGCUGUGCUGCGGCUGGAAACUCUGCAUUAGAUGCAUACAAGAGUCAGUGUUACCAGCAGGAGAUCGACAGCAUGAGACGACUUAGCGUGGGUACACGUCCCACGGAAGCCCACCUUGGAGCGCUCCACCCGGAUACAGGCUACACUGAUCAUCAGAAACCAUUCCAUAAAUCAGGGAAUUUGAGAAUAAAAAUCAUUCAGAAUGCAAAAGGAAAACCACUUAUUAUCCAAGUGGCGCAACAAGGUCCACUCUUUGAGUGUCAUUGCUCCGUACGCAAUGAAAAAUUAAUUGGUUUGAAGACUAAAAUAAACGCUAAAAACCAACAGUGCAAAAGUGCAACAAACCGUUUACCUUGUUAGCUGUCACAAUGUUGGCAUAGACGUAUUUUAUUGUUUCACUCACCCAAUUGACAGAGUUGACAUCACGCGGUGUAGGCUGAGGCUCGGAGCGGGAGGGAGCACGUCAGACAACACACAUUGUGAAAGCCUUUGCACAAUAUAAUCUUAUUCCAAGAGAUGCACUGAGGAGACUGGUCAUUAAUUUAAAAAAAAGUUAAGACACACUUUUUGUUCGCUGCUGUUGAGCACAAGCACGUUUUCUUUUCCUCUAAAUAAUGGUUUAUAUAAUGUUUAACAUUAUAAUAGUCAUUUGUUCAAAACAUUUAUUUUUCCGUUUUCUUACAAUGUUUUUGCAGCAGCAAGACAAGUUAAUUUAAAAAAGCAGUGUUUUACUGCCCCCACCCCAAAAAAAUGAAAUAAAUAAAAAUUGUACCAAUUAGAAUAUCGUUAAAGUACCAGAUUGAUAAGCAGCACUAUGCAGCAUAGUUAAAAGUAGGAUUGUUAAAAUCUUAACGAUACCCAUUCCGACUAACGCAGUCAACUCCAGUGCCUAGAUUUCCUUUUUCAGUUUUUCUUUUUUGUCAGUUGACGACUUUUGGGAAUUUUUAGGUAUCACUGUAUUCAUCGGGGGUUGAGGUCCAGGAUGACUUUUAUUUGAACCUAUCUGAACCGAGCGUGAAUGUGAUUACAUAAAUGACUUCACCCAUCCAUAGUAAUGAGCCACUACAGGCUAUAGGGGUGAGUUCACGCCAUGGUCGUGUUGGAAUCAACAUUUCCUGGAACAGGUGCCACUUGCUUGUUAAAAAAAAAAAGUUAAUUUUGUGCAAGUGACAAAGUGCAAUGGUUUUUCAGCACUCACAGUGCGAGCCAAGGUGUGGUGAAGGGACAGUCAUGGGAGAAAGCUUAAACUGCAUCACUGGCAAGCAGCAGCAUUUCUCACCAAUAGGAAAAGAAAGACUUAAAUUCACAGCCAGAAAGUUUCAGUGAAAAAAUAAAAUAAAUUUAACAAAAGUCACUGGAUGGGAAAAGCUCAAAGAUUUAAGAAGAGACGUCAGCCAAAAAUGUGUCAUGGAUAACCAGGGAGCCAGUCUAAGCUCUACAACACUCCAUUUCCCUAUGCACAAUGUGCUUUCGUGUCCAUUAUACCCAAUUCAUUGUUACAGCAAGAUGGGCGUAUCCAUAACGUUUUGUACAUAAUCAGGAUAGACAAGAGUGGUAACCUAAACUUGGGAAAUAAUUGCUUUGUUUGCUAGUAUGAAAUAGUUUAUGAAUUCAUAAAACAUCAAAAACCAUUACUGCCUUCAUACAUCUGUUGCUGCCUUGGCUGACCACAGCUGCACAAAUAUAGAGAGUUCACCAUCUUCUGGAUUUUACCUUAUUAAUUUUACUAAAAUGUAGCCUGUAAGACAAGGCAUUUUAGUUUUUAAAUAAAACUCCGGCAGGACAAGUGAUUAUGCCAUCGCUUACUUCUCUUUAUUUUGUACUUGACAUGGCAAACAGCACCAAAAUGAGAAUGGCGGAGUGGGAGAAGGGACCUGAGAAACUCUGUACUUGCCGGAUAGCCUGACGCCACAACUCGCAGAUCCACCAUCACGCAAGGCUAGAAAUGAGAGGAUUAAAAUACAUUGAAAAGAGAAACUUCCAAACACCGAUCUUUACGUUUUCCCCCUGAGUGGCACUUGGCGGACAAGAAGCAGGCUAGACAAACUCUGUGCUCCCCGAGCUUAUGUUGCGAUGGCCGUCUUGGUGGCAAAGUCCGUCGCCGGGAGGUGCACCCCCGCCACGGGCUCAGCAGCAAAAUCCACCACCGCCCCGGCAGCAAGGUCCACCGCUGGCUGACUCGGUCCCGCUAGGGAGUGGAGGUCCGAGCCCAAACGGGCGUUUGCAUCAUCGUCGGCCAGGCCAGAGGAGACGAACACCGGCGUGAGACUGGCCGAUGGGGACGCUCUGAUGGUCCAAUUCAGUCAGUCGCGGGGUAAAAACAAUAAUAAACAUUCCCAAGCAGGAGCUCCUCCAGCCUGCAGAAAAAAUGCCACGUUUGCCAUAGUACAAAACAAGGAAAUGAAGCCCAGCUUUUUGUCUGUGUUCAUAUGUUCAGAAAUAAAUCUUUGCGAUGUACAGUCUUUUUUUUUCUA
Molecule: long non-coding RNA, 3179 nt
Organism: Phycodurus eques (leafy seadragon)
Lineage: Eukaryota; Metazoa; Chordata; Actinopteri; Syngnathiformes; Syngnathidae
Exons: 3
Source: RefSeq, a predicted model, not a curated record